RNAcentral lists this long non-coding RNA (1437 nucleotides) under Gallus gallus (chicken). Its description in RNAcentral is "long non-coding RNA NONGGAT004678". Lineage: Eukaryota; Metazoa; Chordata; Aves; Galliformes; Phasianidae. The record is from RNAcentral.
GGAGCGUUUCGUUAAAGUUCGUUUUCCAGACUUCGAUCCUAACAGCGUUCUGCGCCGCUGUCGUUACCGUGCACCGCAGGCGGAGCCGCGUCCCGUCCGUGCGGAGGGCUGCGAUGCGCUCACAUCGGGUGGGUGAAUUCCGGGGGUGCCGCACUGUGGGCACUAAUUGAGCCCGGUAAUGAGUCGCUGUGUGUAUGUGAGCUAUCUGCGUUGAAAAACACCCCACAAACAACGGUCCUGGUUAUAACAGAUUGGAGAAAAGAGCUGCAAGGGAUGGUGAGAGUCAAUGCCCAACCUGCACCGAGGGCAGUGCUCUGUCAGUGCUCCAGGGCCGCUGAUGAACCAGAGCCUGAUAGAGAAGCUUGAAGACAAGUGCUGGCUCUGCAUUGAGCCACCUGCGAAGCUCCUUUGAGACAGUGAGGUGACAUGACGGCAAUGGGCUUUGAAAGCCCACCCUCCAGGUGUGAAGAAGACAGGCUGCUGGUGUGAAGGGAUACGCAGAGCUCCCUGCCAUGAGCUUCCAGCUCCACUGAAACAGAAGCAGGUUCCCACUGAUGCCAGCACAGCAGAAGAUCUGACACCUAUGGAUGGACCUUAACACUGAACAUGAUUGAGCAGAACAUAAAAGCACCACCUGCCUCUGAGCUUCUCAUCCUCUGUGAACCCAACAAUUUUGCUCAGCCACAUACAAAGAAGAAACCAGCAGUGCUAUGAGGGGCAUCACAUGGGUACCUGCAGCUCAAAGCAGUCAGAGCACACCUCACAUCCCACACUUUGCACCCUUCCUGCAGCAUUUUUAGCAUGCGAUGCGUUUAUAACCGAUCAGUCUUUGCCUUUGUUAAGUCCCCAUGUCAGCAUGUGUUGAAUCUUCUUUUCUGUGCCAAACAUAUCAGUGCUGUGGCUUCGUCUUUCAAGUUUAUAGUUGUGAUUUCUCAAAAAUUGGAUGAGUACCAACAAGCAAAUAAGGACAACAACAUACCAGCCUACUGCAGGAACACACUGCCAUUUUGGGACCAGCUUUCUUUGGAUGCUGCCGGCAGAUCUGAACUGAAUUUUGCUUAUUGUGAGACCUAGCUGUCAGGGCUCACUGCCCGUCCUUUCCUCUUUCUUCCUUUCUUGUGAUGUGUCAAAAUUUGGUGGAGGAUUAGAAUUGGUGGGAAUGAGAAACGGGUUAGGAAUUUACUGAACAGUACUUGGAUGUUUUAAAGGUAUUUUGGAGAAUCUGUUCUUGUACCAUUCACUCACAAAAUGUAGUAAGCUUGGUAAAAUGUAGUUAAGAUUCAGCUGACUAAGCUUGACUGCUUAUCUAGAUCUAAAUCUAGCAAGUACUGAGGGCAGUAUCUUGUGCCAGCACAUUCUUUCUGAAUUCGCACCCAUGUAUACAGAUGGAGAGCAGUUUUCAUAGCUGGAAGGGGAAAACAUGACCUGUCCAAAAUU